UACCAGCACCCCGAGUGGUCGGGACGUUUAUUGGGCCUAAAGCAUCCGUAGCCGGUUCUACAAGUCUUCCGUUAAAUCCACCUGCUCAACAGAUGGGCUGCGGAAGAUACUAUGGAGCUAGGAGGCGGGAGAGGCAAGCGGUACUCGAUGGGUAGGGGUAAAAUCCGUUGAUCCAUUGAAGACCACCAGUGGCGAAGGCGGCUUGCCAGAACGCGCUCGACGGUGAGGGAUGAAAGCUGGGGGAGCAAACGGG
Molecule: ribosomal RNA, 253 nt
Filed under: uncultured bacterium
Lineage: Bacteria
Description: partial 16S ribosomal RNA
Rfam family: Archaeal small subunit ribosomal RNA
Source: RNAcentral